UCCGGUUUGGCACCGGCAGUCUCCCUAGAGUUCCCGGCAUGACCCGCUGGCAACUAAGGACAGGGGUUGCGCUCGUUGCGCCACUUAAGGCAACACCUCACGGCACGAGCUGACGACAGCCAUGCACCACCUGUGCAGGCUCCGAAGAGCGCCCGCUUUCACGGGUUUCACCCUGCAUGUCAAGCCCAGGUAAGGUUCUUCGCGUCGCAUCGAAUUAAGCCGCAUGCUCCGCCGCUUGUGCGGGGCCCCGUCAAUUCCUUUGAGUUUUAGCCUUGCGGCCGUACUCCCCAGGCGGGGUACUUAAUGCGUUAGCUACGGCACGGAUCCCAAGGAAGGUGGGGAUGACGUUUACGUGCACUU
RNAcentral lists this unclassified non-coding RNA (360 nucleotides) under uncultured Actinomycetes bacterium. RNAcentral's name for it is "uncultured actinobacterium contains 16S-23S intergenic spacer region". Lineage: Bacteria; Bacillati; Actinomycetota; Actinomycetes. The record is from RNAcentral.